RNAcentral lists this long non-coding RNA (864 nucleotides) under Triticum aestivum (bread wheat). Its description in RNAcentral is "long non-coding RNA (TAES_LNC015418)". Lineage: Eukaryota; Viridiplantae; Streptophyta; Magnoliopsida; Poales; Poaceae. The record is from RNAcentral.
UGACACAAUGCGAAGGUUUCCCAAUUUUUUGAUUUUUUUUGAAUUUUUUAUACCCGUUUCAAAAUGCGGUCAAAACGGCGGGAAUGACCGUUCCUAGCUAGUGGUUGAAUCUUGGAAUUUUUUUGGUGUUUCUCUGAUUAAAUAGGUCCUUAUGUAACUAGAAAUGAUUUUUGGAAAAAAUAAGUAGCAAACUAUGAGGCAGCUGCAGUUCAAAUUUGACCCGCUUCCAGCUGAAUCGGCGAAAAUUUGUCUUUUUCACGAGAGGUGAAUCAAAAUUUUUUACACCUAACCAUUUUGUAAAUUAUGCAUUAAAUAUGGCCUAGUAUUUUAUAAAAAUGAUUCGGUCCAAUUUUGCAACAAUUAUUUGGUAGUUCCUUCACAAAAAAACCUCCUUUCGGGCACUCGAAAAAUGGAAAAUGGUUUUUUCGUCCAACGAAAAUGAAAACUUCCUUAGGAAACAUUGUUUGCCAUUCCAAGAUGCACCCUUUUGCACAAUAUGAGAUCAUUUGAACAAACUAUGCCAACAAUGUGGCCAUAAGAUUGAUCAUUUGGCUUGAAAGCCAUGAAUCUUCACGCAUGAUAGCUUAUUUUUGAGAACACUUUUUUAAAAUAAUUGUCGUAUUGCAAGUUUGUUAUUUUCCCAGGUAACUUGGCCACAUAUGAUGACACAAUGCGAAGGUUUCCCAAUUUUUUGAUUAUUUUUGAAUUUUUUAUGCCCGUUUCAAAAUGCGGUCAAAACGGCGGGAAUGACCGUUCCUAGCUAGUGGUUGAAUUUUGAAAUUUUUUUGGUGUUUCUCUGAUUAAAUAGAUACUUAUGUACCUAGAAAUGAUUUUUUGAAAGAAUAAAGAGCAAACUAUGAGGCA